GUGAAAUUUGAGAGAAGGAAGAAAGGUGAAUUCCCUCUCUGAGGAAGGAGUCAUACUGGACUUUCUACAUACAAGCUAUUUACUUAUUCAGUUUUGAAACAGUUAAUUCAAGAACUCCAAAGGCUUGGUGGAUUUUCUGAAGGUCUGUGCAUACCUCUGUAAAAAAUCUCCUGUCACCAGUGAGAAAUAUGUCUGAGAGAGAGACCCAGCAUUUUUUAAAGAAAUAAGGGGUUUUUUUUAAUAUAGUUCAUCACUAUAAUAUUUUCUGUUAGUUUGCUUUCAAAUCAACAUGGCAUUAUAUACAUCAUAUGUUAAAUGCAUUAUUCUAUAUUAAAAUCCUACUUUACAAGGAUAACACAAUAAAAGUGAUAUUGAGUAC
Molecule: long non-coding RNA, 379 nt
Organism: Vidua chalybeata
Lineage: Eukaryota; Metazoa; Chordata; Aves; Passeriformes; Viduidae
Exons: 3
Source: RefSeq, a predicted model, not a curated record